UAAUAUGAUAUUAUUGGCAGAGGCGCGCGACCAUCUCAUGCUUUGUGGUCACGUGAUUAUUCAACCGGAGACGCGCGUUAGGGAUUUUCUCCUCAGACCAGUGUUUCUGUUUUGUGGUCGAUUCUGGGAUCCUUUUCUUGGUGUGUCUUGAUGUUUUCUAUUGGCUAAAGACAUGUCUCUGUGAAACUGACAAUCUCAGGUAGGAGCUGCUGGUUUGUGGUUGGCAGUAUGGAUCACAGUCUGCGACUCAUGAGGAGCUGGGCUGGAGACAUGAAGAGGUUGUUAACAGGUGAAGAGGUCUGAAGCUAAUACCUGCCACUGUCUGAUUGGUAUUUCAUUAGGAAUCACGGGUUCCUUGGUAUUUGAAUUAUGUUGAACCAGGCCAUCCAUCCAAGAUCAUCUAUCUGAGCUGCUGAAAACUGCCUCGGUACGGAUCUGUUGGAGCUUUGUGUCACUGACUGUAUUUCUGAAAAUUCCUGUUCCGUGUCAAAUGGCUUAUGCAAGACUGAAUCCAUAAAGGGGAUGGUCUGUGGAGACUGUGGGCGAUUCCUUCUGCUGUCAUUUAAACAUGAGCAGGAGUAAUGACGGGAUUUAAAUGGACGAAGCUAAUAUUAUGCCAGAGUCCGCUGCUUAUGCUGUAACCAUAAAGCAACCAGGACAACACAUGGAGUGACCGAGAGCAGGAUGAAGAAAGAAUCGGACGAGAAAAUAUCAACUGGUGCCCAUGAGGAGACAUAUUGUUCUUGGACCUGCUUUUUCUGUUUAGUAAUAAGUGGUUUUAUGUGGUUACAUAAAAGUAAUUUAAUAUUCAAUCCACAAGCUAAAUUUCCUACAUUUUCUUAAAAGGGUAGUUGACCCAAAAAGGAAAAUUCUGUCAUUUACACAAACAGUUUGGUUACAAACAUUUCUCACAAUAUCUGCCUUCCUGUUUAUCAGAACAAAGAAAUGUAUGCGGGUUUGUAACAACAUGAGAGUGUGUAAAUGACAUAAUUUUCAUUUUUGGGUGAAGUACCCCUUUAACAUUUUUAUACACAGGGGUAGGGGUGUGCAGCGGAGUCAGUAUUUGUAUCUCUAACAGUCUCAAAAUUAUUUGUAUCUGUAUUUGUAUUCGGAUUAAACCGGAAGUGGGUGGGUUGACAACUCAUAUUACAUUAAAAUGGCAUUUUAAAUGCAUUUUUGCUUUUUAUUAUAAUUAUAACUUAAAUAACUGUAAAUAUUUAUUCAAAAUAAUAAUACAAAAUUUUAAUCAAAAAGACAAAUAACUUUAUUCUUGUUAGUAAUACUCAUGGAAAGCAAACAACUCAUUUUUAA
Paramisgurnus dabryanus is the source of this 1311-nucleotide long non-coding RNA. RefSeq lists it as uncharacterized. The record is from RefSeq and is a predicted model, not a curated record. NCBI's taxonomy places the organism in Eukaryota, Metazoa, Chordata, Actinopteri, Cypriniformes, Cobitidae.